This 729-nucleotide ribosomal RNA is filed under the name uncultured bacterium. RNAcentral describes it as "bacterial SSU rRNA". It matches the Rfam family "Bacterial small subunit ribosomal RNA", at positions 789 to 1518 of the family's 1533-position model. The record is from RNAcentral.
GGUAGUCCGCGCUGUAAACGAUGUCGAUUUGGAGGUUGUGCCCUCGAGGCGUGGCUUCCGGAGCUAACGCGUUAAAUCGACCGCCUGGGGAGUACGGCCGCAAGGUUAAAACUCAAAUGAAUUGACGGGGGCCCGCACAAGCGGUGGAGCAUGUGGUUUAAUUCGAUGCAACGCGAAGAACCUUACCUACUCUUGACAUCCAGAGAACUUUCCAGAGAUGGAUGGGUGCCUUCGGGAACUCUGAGACAGGUGCUGCAUGGCUGUCGUCAGCUCGUGUUGUGAAAUGUUGGGUUAAGUCCCGCAACGAGCGCAACCCUUAUCCUUUGUUGCCAGCGGUUCGGCCGGGAACUCAAAGGAGACUGCCAGUGAUAAACUGGAGGAAGGUGGGGAUGACGUCAAGUCAUCAUGGCCCUUACGAGUAGGGCUACACACGUGCUACAAUGGCGUAUACAAAGAGAAGCGAACUUGCGAGAGUAAGCGGACCUCAUAAAGUACGUCGUAGUCCGGAUUGGAGUCUGCAACUCGACUCUAUGAAGUCGGAAUCGCUAGUAAUCGUAGAUCAGAAUGCUACGGUGAAUACGUUCCCGGGCCUUGUACACACCGCCCGUCACACCAUGGGAGUGGGUUGCAAAAGAAGUAGGUAGCUUAACCUUCGGGAGGGCGCUUACCACUUUGUGAUUCAUGACUGGGGUGAAGUCGUAACAAGGUAACCAAGGGCGAAUUCGCGGC